GUUUAUUGGAGACUCUUCAAAUACUAUCGCAAAGACUUUACGUUGUUUGAAAUAAAGCUACGCUAAAGUCUGUUUAUUGGAGACUCUUCCAAACACUAUUCCAAGGACUAUACGUUGUUUGAAAUAAAGUUCAACGAUGUGGAUUUUUUAACUAUUCAAGUAUUUGCCAUUUUAUUGAAGGAAUAUCCUGAACAC
Long non-coding RNA from Xenia sp. Carnegie-2017, 195 nucleotides. RefSeq lists it as uncharacterized. The transcript is spliced from 3 exons. Lineage: Eukaryota; Metazoa; Cnidaria; Anthozoa; Malacalcyonacea; Xeniidae. The record is from RefSeq and is a predicted model, not a curated record.